GUUAUAACCGGCGAUUUCCGAAUGGGGAAACCCAGUGUGUUUCGACACACUAUCAUUAACUGAAUCCAUAGGUUAAUGAGGCGAACCGGGGGAACUGAAACAUCUAAGUACCCCGAGGAAAAGAAAUCAACCGAGAUUCCCCCAGUAGCGGCGAGCGAACGGGGAGCAGCCCAGAGCCUGAAUCAGUGUGUGUGUUAGUGGAAGCGUCUGGAAAGGCGCGCGAUACAGGGUGACAGCCCCGUACACAAAAAUGCACAUGCUGUGAGCUCGAUGAGUAGGGCGGGACACGUGGUAUCCUGUCUGAAUAUGGGGGGACCAUCCUCCAAGGCUAAAUACUCCUGACUGACCGAUAGUGAACCAGUACCGUGAGGGAAAGGCGAAAAGAACCCCGGCGAGGGGAGUGAAAAAGAACCUGAAACCGUGUACGUACAAGCAGUGGGAGCCUCUUUAUGGGGUGACUGCGUACCUUUUGUAUAAUGGGUCAGCGACUUAUAUUCUGUAGCAAGGUUAACCGAAUAGGGGAGCCGAAGGGAAACCGAGUCUUAACUGGGCGUUAAGUUGCAGGGUAUAGACCCGAAACCCGGUGAUCUAGCCAUGGGCAGGUUGAAGGUUGGGUAACACUAACUGGAGGACCGAACCGACUAAUGUUGAAAAAUUAGCGGAUGACUUGUGGCUGGGGGUGAAAGGCCAAUCAAACCGGGAGAUAGCUGGUUCUCCCCGAAAGCUAUUUAGGUAGCGCCUCGUGAAUUCAUCUCCGGGGGUAGAGCACUGUUUCGGCAAGGGGGUCAUCCCGACUUACCAACCCGAUGCAAACUGCGAAUACCGGAGAAUGUUAUCACGGGAGACACACGGCGGGUGCUAACGUCCGUCGUGAAGAGGGAAACAACCCAGACCGCCAGCUAAGGUCCCAAAGUCAUGGUUAAGUGGGAAACGAUGUGGGAAGGCCCAGACAGCCAGGAUGUUGGCUUAGAAGCAGCCAUCAUUUAAAGAAAGCGUAAUAGCUCACUGGUCGAGUCGGCCUGCGCGGAAGAUGUAACGGGGCUAAACCAUGCACCGAAGCUGCGGCAGCGACGCUUAUGCGUUGUUGGGUAGGGGAGCGUUCUGUAAGCCUGUGAAGGUGUGCUGUGAGGCAUGCUGGAGGUAUCAGAAGUGCGAAUGCUGACAUAAGUAACGAUAAAGCGGGUGAAAAGCCCGCUCGCCGGAAGACCAAGGGUUCCUGUCCAACGUUAAUCGGGGCAGGGUGAGUCGACCCCUAAGGCGAGGCCGAAAGGCGUAGUCGAUGGGAAACAGGUUAAUAUUCCUGUACUUGGUGUUACUGCGAAGGGGGGACGGAGAAGGCUAUGUUGGCCGGGCGACGGUUGUCCCGGUUUAAGCGUGUAGGCUGGUUUUCCAGGCAAAUCCGGAAAAUCAAGGCUGAGGCGUGAUGACGAGGCACUACGGUGCUGAAGCAACAAAUGCCCUGCUUCCAGGAAAAGCCUCUAAGCAUCAGGUAACAUCAAAUCGUACCCCAAACCGACACAGGUGGUCAGGUAGAGAAUACCAAGGCGCUUGAGAGAACUCGGGUGAAGGAACUAGGCAAAAUGGUGCCGUAACUUCGGGAGAAGGCACGCUGAUAUGUAGGUGAGGUCCCUCGCGGAUGGAGCUGAAAUCAGUCGAAGAUACCAGCUGGCUGCAACUGUUUAUUAAAAACACAGCACUGUGCAAACACGAAAGUGGACGUAUACGGUGUGACGCCUGCCCGGUGCCGGAAGGUUAAUUGAUGGGGUUAGCGGUAACGCGAAGCUCUUGAUCGAAGCCCCGGUAAACGGCGGCCGUAACUAUAACGGUCCUAAGGUAGCGAAAUUCCUUGUCGGGUAAGUUCCGACCUGCACGAAUGGCGUAAUGAUGGCCAGGCUGUCUCCACCCGAGACUCAGUGAAAUUGAACUCGCUGUGAAGAUGCAGUGUACCCGCGGCAAGACGGAAAGACCCCGUGAACCUUUACUAUAGCUUGACACUGAACAUUGAGCCUUGAUGUGUAGGAUAGGUGGGAGGCUUUGAAGUGUGGACGCCAGUCUGCAUGGAGCCGACCUUGAAAUACCACCCUUUAAUGUUUGAUGUUCUAACGUUGACCCGUAAUCCGGGUUGCGGACAGUGUCUGGUGGGUAGUUUGACUGGGGCGGUCUCCUCCUAAAGAGUAACGGAGGAGCACGAAGGUUGGCUAAUCCUGGUCGGACAUCAGGAGGUUAGUGCAAUGGCAUAAGCCAGCUUGACUGCGAGCGUGACGGCGCGAGCAGGUGCGAAAGCAGGUCAUAGUGAUCCGGUGGUUCUGAAUGGAAGGGCCAUCGCUCAACGGAUAAAAGGUACUCCGGGGAUAACAGGCUGAUACCGCCCAAGAGUUCAUAUCGACGGCGGUGUUUGGCACCUCGAUGUCGGCUCAUCACAUCCUGGGGCUGAAGUAGGUCCCAAGGGUAUGGCUGUUCGCCAUUUAAAGUGGUACGCGAGCUGGGUUUAGAACGUCGUGAGACAGUUCGGUCCCUAUCUGCCGUGGGCGCUGGAGAACUGAGGGGGGCUGCUCCUAGUACGAGAGGACCGGAGUGGACGCAUCACUGGUGUUCGGGUUGUCAUGCCAAUGGCACUGCCCGGUAGCUAAAUGCGGAAGAGAUAAGUGCUGAAAGCAUCUAAGCACGAAACUUGCCCCGAGAUGAGUUCUCCCUGACUCCUUGAGAGUCCUGAAGGAACGUUGAAGACGACGACGUUGAUAGGCCGGGUGUGUAAGCGCAGCGAUGCGUUGAGCUAACCGGUACUAAUGAACCGUGAGGCUUAACCUUACAACGCCGAAG
This 2820-nucleotide ribosomal RNA is filed under the name Escherichia coli. RNAcentral describes it as "partial 23S ribosomal RNA". It matches the Rfam family "Bacterial large subunit ribosomal RNA". The record is from RNAcentral. Lineage: Bacteria; Pseudomonadati; Pseudomonadota; Gammaproteobacteria; Enterobacterales; Enterobacteriaceae.